CCCACAAAAACUCAACAUGAUUCGGGGUUUUAUUGCGUUGAUUCUGAUACUGCACUGGAGCCAAGGCACUGAGGGUGGAGAUGAUGUUAUUCAAAAGCCUGUAAUUCUUUGGGAACCAAAGAACGGUUCUGCUUCUUUGAGCUGCAAACACAAUAAGGAUAUUUCAUACCGGCAGAUGUACUGGUACCGACAGCGUCCAGGAGAGACUAUGAGACUCAUUGUAUUUACUGUGGCUGGUAAUGAUCCAGAGUUUGGAGAUGUUGACAAGAACAAAUUUGAACCUCAAAAAAGUGAUGCUGAAAGUGGAUCUUUGAAAGUGAAAGAUCUAGAUCCAGGUGACAGUGGUAUAUAUUUCUGUGCAGUGAGUAACACAGUGUGUCAAAGACUAGAGAGUGCUGUACAAAAACAUUCUGUGCAUAAAAAGACAAUAACAGCAUUAGUCAGCAGGUGGCAGUCUGGGACAAUGUUUAAACAAUUGAGCUGAACCAAAACAAUUUAAUGUAAAUCAUUAAAAUAUUCUUCUGAACCAAGUUCAGUUUCACCUCCAGAUGGAGGU
Molecule: non-coding RNA, 556 nt
Organism: Onychostoma macrolepis
Lineage: Eukaryota; Metazoa; Chordata; Actinopteri; Cypriniformes; Cyprinidae
Source: the annotation of a RefSeq genome assembly